RNAcentral lists this long non-coding RNA (408 nucleotides) under Pan troglodytes (chimpanzee). RNAcentral's name for it is "long non-coding RNA NONPTRT013816". The record is from RNAcentral. Lineage: Eukaryota; Metazoa; Chordata; Mammalia; Primates; Hominidae.
GGAGGCAGUCAAAAGGAAAAACACAAAUAUCUCCAAGAUGGCACUUACAAAAAGCAACAACAAUGACAAAGUAUAAAUACAAACACACACCUUGAAGUUUAUGUUCUUACUCAAAUGCAAGCAUCAACAAUGGCCUACUGUCAGUAAGUUAAAUGGCUGUGGCUGUUUCAGUCUCCCAUUACAUGAAGAAUCUUCUGGAGAGGGAAAGAAGAAACCAUGUCUAGACAAGGUGCUGGAAAGACCCAGGGAAGACACAGGUGAGCUAAGAAAGCAGUAGAAACUGGGUAAUUAAAAGUCAACAUAAUGGCUGGAAACUUGUUCAAGGAGAUAUAAAAAGAAAGAAAAACCAAAAGAGAGACUGUAUAGAUGAACUUUGUCUAUUUACAAUUUUGUCUAAGGCCAAAUCUG